This 296-nucleotide unclassified non-coding RNA is filed under the name uncultured fungus. Its description in RNAcentral is "sequence contains ITS2". The stretch from base 1 to 52 matches the Rfam family "5.8S ribosomal RNA", at positions 103 to 154 of the family's 154-position model. Lineage: Eukaryota; Fungi. The record is from RNAcentral.
AACGCACCUUGCGCUCCUUGGUAUUCCGAGGAGCAUGCCUGUUUGAGUGUCAUUAAAUUCUCAACCUCUUCAGCUUUUGCGAGCUUGAUUGAGGCUUGGAUGUGGGGGUUUGCGGGCUUCUCAGAAGUCGGCUCCUCUGAAAUGCAUUAGUGAGACCUCUGUUGACUGUCUCUGGUGUGAUAAUUAUCUACGCCACAGUUGGUUAGCUUUAAUGUGGGGACUUGCUUAUAACCGUCUUAACAGACAAAUCUUGACCAUUUGACCUCAAAUCAGGUAGGACUACCCGCUGAACUUAA